GAUCCUGCCGGAGGUUACUGCUAUCGAGGUUCGACUAAGCCAUGCGAGUCGAAUGUAGCAAUACAUGGCGAACUGCUCAGUAACACGUGGACAACCUGCCCUUAGGUUGGGUAUAAACCCGGGAAACUGGGUAUAAUACCCGAUAGGUCUCGAUUGCUGGAAUGCAUCGAGAUUUAAAGCUCCGGCGCCUAAGGAUGGGUCUGCGGCCUAUCAGGUAGUAGUGGGUGUAGCGUACCUACUAGCCUACGACGGGUACGGGUUGUGAGAGCAAGAGCCCGGAGAUGGAUUCUGAGACACGAAUCCAGGCCCUACGGGGUGCAGCAGGCGCGAAAACUUUACAAUGCUGGCAACAGCGAUAAGGGAACCUCGAGUGCCAGGUUACAAAUCUGGCUGUCGAGAUGCCUAAAAAGCAUUUCAUAGCAAGGGCCGGGCAAGACCGGUGCCAGCCGCCGCGGUAACACCGGCGGCUCGAGUGGUAACCGUUAUUAUUGGGUCUAAAGGGUCUGUAGCCGGCCGGAUAAGUCUCUUGAGAAAUCUGGCAGCUUAACUGUCAGGCUUUCAGGAGAUACUGUCUGGCUCGAGGCCGGGAGAGGUGAGAGGUACUUCAGGGGUAGGGGUGAAAUCUUGUAAUCCUUGAAGGACCACCAGUGGCGAAGGCGUCUCACCAGAACGGACCUGACGGCAAGGGACGAAAGCUAGGGGCACGAACCGGAUUAGAUACCCGGGUAGUCCUAGCCGUAAACGAUACUCGCUAGGUGUCGGCCACGGUGCGACCGUUGUCGGUGCCGUAGGGAAGCCGUGAAGCGAGCCACCUGGGAAGUACGGCCGCAAGGCUGAAACUUAAAGGAAUUGGCGGGGGAGCACCACAACGGGUGGAGCUUGCGGUUUAAUUGGAUUCAACGCCGGG
This 907-nucleotide ribosomal RNA is filed under the name uncultured archaeon. RNAcentral describes it as "bacterial SSU rRNA". It matches the Rfam family "Archaeal small subunit ribosomal RNA", at positions 10 to 922 of the family's 1478-position model. The record is from RNAcentral.